This 200-nucleotide ribosomal RNA is filed under the name uncultured bacterium. RNAcentral describes it as "partial 16S ribosomal RNA". It matches the Rfam family "Bacterial small subunit ribosomal RNA", at positions 30 to 232 of the family's 1533-position model. The record is from RNAcentral.
AUUGAACGCUGGCGGCAUGCCUUACACAUGCAAGUCGAACGGUAACGCGGGGCAACCUGGCGACGAGUGGCGAACGGGUGAGUAAUAUAUCGGAACGUGCCCAGUUGUGGGGGAUAACUGCUCGAAAGAGCAGCUAAUACCGCAUACGACCUGAGGGUGAAAGCGGGGGAUCGCAAGACCUCGCGCAAUUGGAGCGGCCG